Molecule: ribosomal RNA, 435 nt
Filed under: Triticum aestivum (bread wheat)
Lineage: Eukaryota; Viridiplantae; Streptophyta; Magnoliopsida; Poales; Poaceae
Description: partial small subunit ribosomal RNA
Source: RNAcentral
AUGACCAUCCUCGCAGUUUAUGUUAAUGACAUCAUUAUCGUCGACGAAGAUGACGUAGAGAUGGCAAGGUUAAGGGGGUGCCUGAGUAAGGCAUUUGAAGUUAAAGAUCUUGGCCGACUCAAGUACUUCCUUGAUAUAGAAGUGGCAAGGUCUGAAAAAGGAAUAGCUCUGAAUAGCUCUUUCUCAAAGUAUACCCUGGACCUCAUCUAUGAUGUUGGCAUGUUGGGUUGUCGAGCUGCUUCAACCCCAAUUGAUCAAAACCAUAAAAUGUCUUCUCGGGCUCUUGUAGCUAUGGAUUAUUGCCUUACGUAUCCGCUCCAUGUGUUGUUAACCACUUGUUUUCUUCAGCAUGAACAUCAUCUUGGUCGUCCUAUUAACCAAAAUCUAGGUAGCCUUUUGAUGGAUUUCCUGUAUUUUUUUUGGGAAUGUGUUUGA